Molecule: long non-coding RNA, 2578 nt
Organism: Orcinus orca (killer whale)
Lineage: Eukaryota; Metazoa; Chordata; Mammalia; Artiodactyla; Delphinidae
Exons: 5
Source: RefSeq, a predicted model, not a curated record
CGAGAACUCGGCGCUGGGACCCCCUCCCUUGUGUCACUUCGAAGGGGUGACGGGCGAGGCCCGGAGGGUUCCUCAGAGCAGAGGGAGGAGGCGGCUGUGGGACGAACAGCGCCGGGCGGCCCCCUCCGCACACAGAAACCUAAACCUCUGGACCCACGUUUAUUAGGGGUUGAGCCUAUUUCCUGACUCCACCUGUUUCCCCCCAGACGCAUCUUCCUCCCACGUGGGCAGAGGCAGGUCAGGCGUGGGGUCGUAAGAGGAGCAUCAAAGGAUCAGGACCCUCUGAGUGACUCUCUCUGCUUGGAAUUGCUUCCAUAUCACGGUGCCUCGGAAGAAAGCAUCAGCUGAUUCCGGUUCCUCUGAGACCUUUCAGGGUAAUCUUAGAGGCGUGCAAACCACAGGGGAAAAGCAGAACAUGAAAGCAAAAUUAAUAUUAGGAUUUGCAAGCGGCGGUGAGGGCUUGUGAGAAAGCCCACUGAGGAGAACAGAGACACAAGCUCCCAACCGCAGGGCUGGUCCGGGGCUCCCAGCAGGCCAGCAGGACGGAAGGGACUCACUUCUCAGCGUUGUUGGAACCGUAGGGAAAGAGGAGGCUUCUUCCCCCUGAGGAUGCCAGUGCCGGGCUCUGAGGAUGCGGGGGCUAGAGGGCCAUCGCACGAGGAUCUGCUGGAGGAUGAGGCCAGCCUCGAGGAAGGAGGGCAUGGGUUGCAGGAUUCCUCAGGACUUCGUGUGAGCGCCUGACUUUUCAGUUACCCAGUGGAUAGAUUCCCUUUGUGGCUGAAGCCAGUUUGGGCUGGGUUUCUGACAUUUACAAUGGACAGAGUCUUGGUCAAUAGACAUUCAUGAUACGUCAUGGAGUGAAAAGGCAGGUUUCAAAACAUUAUGUUCCAUCUUAGUUUUUAAAAGCAUACCGUAUACUUAUUUAUAGACACAAAAAGUCUUGGAAAGAGACAUCAUGAUGUAUGUUAUCUCUAGCUGGAGGAAUGACAAGUGAUUUUUCUUUUCUUCUGUUAAUUUUCUAAUUUUAAGUAAGACAGGCAUGCCUUAUUUGUGUAAUGAAAAAGCGUUUUUAUUUAAGGAGAUGAAUUACAGGAAGAAAAGCAGACAUCAGGGCUCUGGGAUCAGUAGCUUCUAGUCUCAAGAGCUGCUGUGAUGCUGGACGUCUGAGAGGUGCAGCCCUUGGCCAUCCUGAACCACUUUGUAAGGGCUAGUUCGUCUUCUAUGACCUCUCAGCCUUGUUCCUUUUCCUGUAAUAAUGCUUACCAUGGUGGGAGUUCAUUCAUUCAUUCAUUCAUUCACUCUGUAAGCGCCGCUACUCUAGUGUUAAAGAUGUCAAGAUGAAUGACACAGGGUCUCAGUCCUCCUUUGCUGGGAGCAGAUGCUCUACAGCAUGGAAUUCUCUGCAGAAGGAUCUGCUGCAUCUCUGCUCCUCUCUGUUCCUUCCUGACCCCCCAGGCCCUCUGAGGGACCCUGCCAAAGGACAGGUCUGGGGCUGAUGUUGCCAAACCUCUGCUGGACCCAGGACCACCUGCUAGGCCUUGCGCUGCACGCGCACACGGGGAUCCCGCCAGGACUGGAGUGGGAGCCCCGGGGGGGAGGGGCUGUGGGCCAGGCCACGGGAUGAUAGAGGUUCUUUUCUCUUUCGUCCUUGUCAUCUACCAGGAGCCAGAGAAAGCCUCUCACCAUCUGCCCGAAACUCAGGAACGGCUCCUGCCCUUCCCAACUCCUGCCUGGAAGAUGAGGGGACACAAUUUCCUCCUUCCGGAGGGCAGGUAGCCUCCUAGAUCAGAGACCCUCCACACCUUAGGUUUUCAGAUUGCUGGGCUGUAGUCGUCGUCAUUAUUUUUUAACAGAUUUAUUGAGGCACGUUUUACAUACAUGAAAUUUCCUCCGUUUUAGGUGUACGUACAGUUCAGUGAUUUUCAGUAAAUUUACAGGGGCUGUGCAACCACUCACACCAUCCGGUUUGGGAACAUUGCUGUCACCCCAGAAAGAUCUGUCUCGGGCACCCAUUUGCAUUUGCUGCCUGUUCCCGCCCCCAGCCCCAGGCAGCCACUGAUCUGUCUCUGUAGGAUUGCUUCUCUCUGGACGUGUCAUCUAAAUAGAAUCGUACAACAGGUGCCUUUUGCUUCCGGCUUCUUUCGCUCAAUUUCAUGUUUCUGAGGUUCAUCCGUGUGGUAAGAGCAUCAGUCCUCCAUUCCUUUUGUAUUACUGCAUGGUGUUCUAUUGUAUGGACAAGUCACGUUGUUUAUCCAUUCAUCAGUUGCUGGACAUUUGGGUUGUUCCCACUUUUUGGCUGUUGCGAAUAAUGCCGUUAUGGACUUUUACGUACACGUCUUUAUGCGAACACACGUUUUUAUUUUUCUUGAAUUCGUAGGGGUGAAAUUGCUGGGUCUUAUGUAAAUUGACCUCUAGCUUAAGGAACUGUCAAACUGUUCCAAAGUGGUUGUACCGUUUUACAUUCCCCUCAGAAAUUACAAGGAUUCCAGUUUCUCCACGUCCUUGCCAACACUCAUUAUAUUGGUUCUAGUGGCUGUAAAGUGGCAUUUCAUUGUGAUCUUAAAGUGCUUUUUCCUCA